AAGGCUUUAAGUUAAUAAAACUAAUAACCUUCAAAGUUGGAAUUAAAAAUUAUCUUUUAAGCCUUA
RNAcentral lists this transfer RNA (66 nucleotides) under Angaracris rhodopa. Its description in RNAcentral is "tRNA-Trp". The record is from RNAcentral. Lineage: Eukaryota; Metazoa; Arthropoda; Insecta; Orthoptera; Acrididae. RNAcentral also lists the same sequence under 6 other names.